Molecule: long non-coding RNA, 224 nt
Filed under: Populus trichocarpa (black cottonwood)
Lineage: Eukaryota; Viridiplantae; Streptophyta; Magnoliopsida; Malpighiales; Salicaceae
Description: long non-coding RNA (PTRI_LNC000782)
Source: RNAcentral
UUUGCUCUAAAAAAUGGCAUCUCCGUUUAAAAUUUCUGCUUUGCUUCUAACCUUUUGCGUCUCAAUUUCUCUAACCUUACCCGUACGUUCACAAACAUGCGCCUCACAGACGUUCACAAACAACAAUCUGUACACCCACUGUUUAGACCUCCCUACACUCUCCUCCUACCUUCAUUUCACCUACGAUGCCGCAAAUUCAACGCUGUCCGUCGCCUUCUUUGCUU